Molecule: ribosomal RNA, 270 nt
Filed under: uncultured archaeon
Lineage: Archaea
Description: partial 16S ribosomal RNA
Rfam family: Archaeal small subunit ribosomal RNA
Source: RNAcentral
CAGCACCUCAAGUGGUCAGGAUGGUUAUUGGGCCUAAAGCAUCCGUAGCCUGCUUUGUUAGUUUUCGGUUAAAUCCAUACGCUCAACGUAUGGGCUGCCGGGAAUACUGCAAAGCUAGGGAGUGGGAGAGGUAGACGGUACUCGGUAGGAAGGGGUAAAAUCCUUUGAUCUAUUGAUGACCACCUGUGGCGAAGGCGGUCUACCAGAACACGUCCGACGGUGAGGGAUGAAAGCUGGGGGAGCAAACCGGAUUAGAUACCCGAGUAGUCC